GAGAAAAUAAACAAGGUGUGGGGAGUACCCAUCCCCUCGCCCACUCAGCUCCAGACCCGCACACAAUGUCUGACUUCAGAGGAAGCGUUGGGAUCUCCCUGGGAGGGAGCAGACGCAGAAGCAAAAUCUCCACUCGUGAAAACAUGCUUGUCUCCCUUCUGAAGUGUGAACACGACUGGCACCAGAGCUGCUCCAGAUAUCACUUCUUGAUGCAGAGAACUGGGAGACACCUUCAGCCACCUCUCUCCCAGCAUGAGUGUCCAGAGCAAGUGGUGCCACCCAAAGGCACCUGCUCUUCCCAGGAGGAGAAGGAAGAGGCUGAUUCUGGGGUUUCUCCUGUGGCCAGUCAAGGCAGCCUGGCCUGCUUGACGAAGCCCUCUGCCACAGCAGGGCACCAGGCACCACGCGAAGGUUGCUCCACGAGCCUCUUUAUUCCAGCUUGAUGAUUACAUCCAUUUUCCGGACCAGAAAACUGAGGUGCCACCUCUACCACCAGAAAGAGAAAACCAACUAUCUUUAACCAUAAAACAACCCGAAGAGCUAGGUACUGUUAUUUUUCCAGAUGAGAAGCAAGCGCAGGGAGGUGAACUUGCGCACAUUCGCGCAACUAUGAAGUGCUGGGGCCGAGACAGCCCUCACCAGGUUCACAGCGGCUGCAGGCUCCAACUACAAAAUCCUCGGAUGGCACAGAGGCAGCAGGAAGGACCCCACAACGUCCCCGCGAG
Molecule: long non-coding RNA, 725 nt
Filed under: Equus caballus (horse)
Lineage: Eukaryota; Metazoa; Chordata; Mammalia; Perissodactyla; Equidae
Description: lncRNA (ENSECAG00000029389.2)
Source: RNAcentral